AUUGAACGCUGGCGGCAGGCCUAACACAUGCAAGUCGAACGGUAACAGGAAGAAGUUUGCUUCUUUGCUGACGAGUGGCGGACGGGUGAGUAAUGUCUGGGAAACUGCCUGAUGGAGGGGGAUAACUACUGGAAACGGUAGCUAAUACCGCAUAACGUCGCAAGCCCAAAGAGGGGGACCUUCGGGCCUCUUGCCAUCGGAUGUGCCCAGAUGGGAUUAGCUAGUAGGUGGGGUAACGGCUCACCUAGGCGACGAUCCCUAGCUGGUCUGAGAGGAUGACCAGCAAAACUGGAACUGAGACACGGUCCAGACUCCUACGGGAGGCAGCAGUGGGGAAUAUUGCACAAUGGGCGCAAGCCUGAUGCAGCCAUGCCGCGUGUAUGAAGAAGGCCUUCGGGUUGUAAAGUACUUUCAGCGGGGAGGAAGGGAGUAAAGUUAAUACCUUUGCUCAUUGACGUUACCCGCAGAAGAAGCACCGGCUAACUCCGUG
Molecule: ribosomal RNA, 490 nt
Filed under: uncultured bacterium
Lineage: Bacteria
Description: partial 16S ribosomal RNA
Rfam family: Bacterial small subunit ribosomal RNA
Source: RNAcentral